GACGAACGCUGGCGGCGUGCCUAAUACAUGCAAGUUGAGCGCUGAAGGUUGGUACUUGUUCCGACUGGAUGAGCAGCGAACGGGUGAGUAACGCGUGGGGAAUCUGCCUUUGAGCGGGGGACAACAUUUGGAAACGAAUGCUAAUACCGCAUAAAAACUUUAAACACAAGUUUUAAGUUUGAAAGAUGCAAUUGCAUCACUCAAAGAUGAUCCCGCGUUGUAUUAGCUAGUUGGUGAGGUAAAGGCUCACCAAGGCGAUGAUACAUAAGCGACCUGGGAGGGUGAUCGGCCACAUUGGGACUGAGACACGGCCCAAACUCCUACGGGAGGCAGCAGUAGGGAAUCUUCGGCAAUGGACGAAAGUCUGACCGAGCAACGCCGCGUGAGUGAAGAAGGUUUUCGGAUCGGAAAACUCUGGUGGUAGAGAAGAACGUUGGUGAGAGGGGAAAGCUCAUCAAGUGACGGUAACUACCCAGAAAGGGACGGCUAACUACGUG
This 497-nucleotide ribosomal RNA is filed under the name uncultured bacterium. Its description in RNAcentral is "partial 16S ribosomal RNA". It matches the Rfam family "Bacterial small subunit ribosomal RNA", at positions 28 to 507 of the family's 1533-position model. The record is from RNAcentral.